GGCAUACGGAAUUAACUUAUUAAUCAACGAUUGAUUGAUUGAUGAUCAUGGCAGUUUCCUAGAAUCUGGAGGUGAAUUGUUUCCUUUUCUCACAGUUGCUCGAAAGCGAUAUCGGGGACAAUCAGGUCCCUUUCUUGAGGACCCAAAGCGGCAGGAACCCCCUUGACCCUCAGAGAUGCCGGCUUUGACUCCUGGGGGGACUCCGGAGACCUAACAGCUGUGUUCCCCAAAAUGGAUAUCGGCUCAUGAAGCAGAAAAGAGCGACACCUUCUGGGACUCUGUAGACCUCAAGGAGGUACGUGGUAGACAGGGGAGGCAACCUGUAAAGAGACGGG
Zootoca vivipara (common lizard) is the source of this 335-nucleotide long non-coding RNA. RefSeq lists it as uncharacterized. The record is from RefSeq and is a predicted model, not a curated record. NCBI's taxonomy places the organism in Eukaryota, Metazoa, Chordata, Lepidosauria, Squamata, Lacertidae.